RNAcentral lists this ribosomal RNA (468 nucleotides) under uncultured bacterium. RNAcentral's name for it is "partial 16S ribosomal RNA". It matches the Rfam family "Bacterial small subunit ribosomal RNA", at positions 28 to 507 of the family's 1533-position model. The record is from RNAcentral.
GACGAACGCUGGCGGCGUGCUUAACACAUGCAAGUCGAACGGAAAGGCCCUGCUUUUGCGGGGUGCUCGAGUGGCGAACGGGGGAGUAACACGUGAGUAACCUGCCCUUGACUUUGGGAUAACUUCAGGAAACUGGGGCUAAUACCCGGUAGGAGCUCCUGCUGCACGGGGGGGGUUGGAGAGAUUCGGCUGUGGGGGAUGGACUCGCUGCUUAUCAGCUUGUUGGUGGGGUAGUGGCUUACCAAGGCUUUGACGGGUAGGCCGCCUGAGAGCGUGACCGGCCACAUUGGGACUGAGAUACGGACCAGACUCCUACGGGACGCAGCAGGGGGGAACAUUGCAGAAUGGGGCGAAGCCUGAUGCAGCAACCCCGCGUGCGUGAUGACCUCCUACGGGUUGUAAACCGCUUUCGCCUGUGACGAAGCGUGAGUGACGGUAAUGGGUAAAGAAGCACCGGCUAACUACGUG